GAUGAACGCUGGCGGCGUGCCUAAUACAUGCAAGUCGAGCGAACAGACGAGGAGCUUGCUCCUCGGACGUUAGCGGCGGACGUGUGAGUAACACGUGUAUAACCUACCUAUAAGACUGGUAUAACUUCGGGAAACCGGAGCUAAUACCGGAUAAUAUAUUGAACCGCAGGGUUCAAUAGUGAAAGACGGUGUUGCGGUCACGUAUAGAUGGAUCCGCGCCGCAUGAGCUAGUUGGUAAGUUAACGGCUUACCAAGGCAACGAGGCGUAGACGACGUGAGGGGGUGAUAGGCCACCUUGGAACUGAGCCACGGUCCAGGCUCCUAAGGGAGGGAGCAGUAGGGAAUGUGACGCAAAGGGCGAAAGCAUGACGGAGCAACGGCGAGCGUGUUACGAAGGUCUUGGGAUCGUAAAACUCUGUUACUAGGGAAGAACCAAUGUGUAAGUAACUAUGCACGUCUUGACGGUAACUAAUAAGAAAGCAACGGCUAACUACGUG
RNAcentral lists this ribosomal RNA (497 nucleotides) under uncultured bacterium. RNAcentral describes it as "partial 16S ribosomal RNA". It matches the Rfam family "Bacterial small subunit ribosomal RNA", at positions 28 to 507 of the family's 1533-position model. The record is from RNAcentral.